RNAcentral lists this ribosomal RNA (95 nucleotides) under uncultured bacterium. RNAcentral describes it as "partial 16S ribosomal RNA". It matches the Rfam family "Bacterial small subunit ribosomal RNA", at positions 1388 to 1482 of the family's 1533-position model. The record is from RNAcentral.
CACCGCCCGUCACACCAUGGGAGUGGAUUGUACCAGAAGCAGGUGGCCUAACCGCAAGGGAGGCGCCUACCACGGUAUGCUCCAUGACUGGGGUG